RNAcentral lists this small nuclear RNA (104 nucleotides) under Myotis lucifugus (little brown bat). The record is from RNAcentral. Lineage: Eukaryota; Metazoa; Chordata; Mammalia; Chiroptera; Vespertilionidae.
GUGCUCACUGUGAAAGCGCACAUAAUAAAACUUGAAUGAUGCAGAGAUUAGUAUGUACUCUGUGCAAAAUCGAUAUGUACAUGUGUUACAUAUUCCACAUUUAC